UACGUAGGGGGCAAGCGUUGUCCGGAAUCAUUGGGCGUAAAGCGCGUGUAGGCGGCCCGAUAAGUCCGCUGUGAAAGUCCAGGGCUCAACCCUGGGAUGCCGGUGGAUACUGUCGGGCUCGAGUCCGGAAGAGGAGUGUGGAAUUCCUGGUGUAGCGGUGAAAUGCGUAGAUAUCUGGAGGAACACCGGUGGCGAAGGCGGCAUCCUGGACCAACACUGACGCUGAGGAGCGAAAGCCAGGGGAGCAAACGGG
Molecule: ribosomal RNA, 253 nt
Filed under: uncultured bacterium
Lineage: Bacteria
Description: partial 16S ribosomal RNA
Rfam family: Bacterial small subunit ribosomal RNA
Source: RNAcentral